AAUCUGUGGUGUGGGCACUGAGACCAAUAGCCCUUGAACCUUUCCCAUGCCUCACUAGAGCUCUCAAGGUUUUUCUGCUGGAAGGUAGAGAUUUCAUUCCUUAUCUU
Small nucleolar RNA from Raphanus sativus (radish), 107 nucleotides. The record is from RefSeq and is a predicted model, not a curated record. NCBI's taxonomy places the organism in Eukaryota, Viridiplantae, Streptophyta, Magnoliopsida, Brassicales, Brassicaceae.